CUGACAGUUUGGCUUCCCUGUUCCAGGUGGCAAAGCCUGUGGGGUAUUCACCUACCUGCUGCAUGAAGGCAGCAUGGAGGGACUGUGGUGGAUUAUCUGCAAAGAUGGCCCAAAUUCUCUCAUCCCUGCAGGUACAUACAAGGUUGUUGCAUGGCAUAAGUAAAAUGACAGCUAUAGAAUAUGUGCAACUUUUCAGUGACAAAGACCUGUGAAGCAUUGACAGUACCACCUAAUGAGGUUUCACGAUAACUAAGUAUCACAACCAGUUUACAGACCAGAAAACUGAGACACAGGAAGGGUUGGUGACUUGAGCAAGGUGCAUCAGCUGGAAAUUGAGGUGUACGGAAUGCUUAUUUGGUUGACUCAGUAUCAUCCUAAAUGUAUGAACUAAUGUUUAGGAGUUUGCAGUUCACCCGCAAACCUCAGCGAUCCAAGCUCCCCUGGAUGACCAUCACUCACCUAGAAAAGAACAAUAACAGGACCUGUUUUGCUAAUCCAGGACUGUUCUCCAGCACUAACUCUAAAUAAUCCCUUCUGUUAGAGUCCACUUUCUGGAACCUGUUGCCUCCGUUUUCAACGUUUCCCAAACUUGGUCCGUUGUGUGAGUUGGCUGUUAAAAGUUCCAGAGGUCACAUAGGUACAUUCACUCACUUUCAACCAAUAUUUCUCAAGACUGUGUUAUGCUGUGCACAGGAGACACAGAAAUAGAUGACCC
RNAcentral lists this long non-coding RNA (715 nucleotides) under Pongo abelii (Sumatran orangutan). RNAcentral describes it as "lincRNA". The record is from RNAcentral. Lineage: Eukaryota; Metazoa; Chordata; Mammalia; Primates; Hominidae.